RNAcentral lists this small RNA (132 nucleotides) under Acinetobacter baumannii. Its description in RNAcentral is "partial 6S RNA". It matches the Rfam family "6S / SsrS RNA", at positions 1 to 134 of the family's 187-position model. Rfam says of the family: E. coli 6S RNA was the first non coding RNA to be sequenced, but its function was unknown until recently. It consists of 184 nucleotides that fold into an extended hairpin structure with a large single-stranded internal bulge. The 6S RNA specifically associates with RNA polymerase holoenzyme containing the sigma70 specificity factor. Lineage: Bacteria; Pseudomonadati; Pseudomonadota; Gammaproteobacteria; Moraxellales; Moraxellaceae. The record is from RNAcentral.
CUGUCUCUGGGAUGUUCGCCAGCCGGUCUGAUUCCCCUGAGCCGAUAUCAUCUCUUCAGGAUGGUGUUCUGCAUAUUUAGAGCGUAUGCCUACCCCGAGUAGGAAACCCAGCAAGUAUGCGUCACCUCCACC